GAUGAACGCUGGCGGCGUGCCUAAUACAUGCAAGUCGAGCGAACGGACGAGAAGUUUCCUUCUCUGAUGUUAGCGGCGGACGGGUGAGUCACACGUGGAUAACCUACCUAUAAGACUGGGAUAAUUUCGAGAAACCGGAGCUCAUACCGGAAGAAUAAUUGAACCGCAUGGUUUAAAAGAGAAUGUCGGUCUUGCGGUCACGUAUUGCUGGAUCCGCGCUGCAUUAGCUAGUAGGUAAGCUAACGGCUUACCAAGGCUACGUUGCAUAACAGAGCUGAGAGGGUGGUCAGCCAGCCUGAGACUGAGACACGGUCCAGACUCCUACAGGAGGCAGCAGUAGGGAAUCUGCCGCAAUGGGCGAGAACCUGACGGAGCAACACCACGUGAGUGAUGAAGGUCUUCGGAUCGUAAAACUCUGUUAUUAGGGAAGUACAGAUGUGUAAGUAACUGUGCACGACUUGACGGUACCUAAUCAAAAAGCCACGGCUAACUACGUG
Molecule: ribosomal RNA, 497 nt
Filed under: uncultured bacterium
Lineage: Bacteria
Description: partial 16S ribosomal RNA
Rfam family: Bacterial small subunit ribosomal RNA
Source: RNAcentral